RNAcentral lists this ribosomal RNA (800 nucleotides) under uncultured bacterium. RNAcentral describes it as "bacterial SSU rRNA". It matches the Rfam family "Bacterial small subunit ribosomal RNA", at positions 79 to 898 of the family's 1533-position model. The record is from RNAcentral.
UAUAAUUGUCAGCUAAGUGGCGCACGGGUGAGUAAUGUAUAGAUAACCUGCCCUUAAGAAAGGAAUAACAGUUGGAAACGACUGCUAAUGCCCUAUAUGCCUUUAAUACAUAAGUAUGCAAGGGAAACGCUUUAGUGCUUAAGGAUGGGUCUGUAUGGUAUCAACUUGUUGGUGAGGUAAUGGCUCACCAAGGCUAUGACGCCUAACUGGUUUGAGAGGAUGAUCAGUCACACUGGAACUGAGACACGGUCCAGACUCCUACGGGAGGCAGCAGUGGGGAAUAUUGCACAAUGGACGAAAGUCUGAUGCAGCAACGCCGCGUGGAGGAUGACACAUUUCGGUGCGUAAACUCCUUUUAUAUAGGAAGAUAAUGACGGUACUAUAUGAAUAAGCACCGGCUAACUCCGUGCCAGCAGCCGCGGUAAUACGGAGGGUGCAAGCGUUACUCGGAAUCACUGGGCGUAAAGAGCGUGUAGGCGGGUAUAUAAGUCAGAAGUGAAAUCCAAUAGCUCAACUAUUGAACUGCUUUUGAAACUGUAUACCUAGAAUGUGGGAGAGGUAGAUGGAAUUUCUGGUGUAGGGGUAAAAUCCGUAGAGAUCAGAAGGAAUACCGAUUGCGAAGGCGAUCUACUGGAACAUUAUUGACGCUGAGACGCGAAAGCGUGGGGAGCAAACAGGAUUAGAUACCCUGGUAGUCCACGCCCUAAACGAUGUACACUAGUUGUUGUGAGGCUCGACCUUGCAGUAAUGCAGUUAACACAUUAAGUGUACCGCCUGGGGAGUACGGUCGCAAGAUUAAA